AUCCCAGCUCCCAGAAGGUACCUGCCCCCCAACACAGCACACAAAAGCAGACACGUGUGCACAUUCAUGUCCCAUAGCACCCCAUUCCCUAGCCUUCCCCAGACCCAUUCCUAGUCCGUCUUGAAGAGAACACUGGGGGUGGAAAGGCUGCAGGAGAAAAGCCAACAGGCAGGCCCCACAAUUUCCACCACCAGGCUUUGAGCUGCUUCCUCCCUUGGCCUAGGCAGAGAACUGGCCCGUACCUGCCCACCAGAAAACAGGGGAAUUACUCAAGUGCAAGAUUAAAGGCAAUAAUGAGCAAUCAGACCGAACUGGAAUGACAGUAGGGGAAGGUGAAGAGACUUUGGGAAAAGGAAGAGCACUGAAGUCAGACCUGGCACAGCCUUUUACGAGCUAUGUAAUCUCAGGUGAGUCGCUCCCCUUUUCCAAACUUCAGUUUCCUUAUCUAUAAAAUGGCAAUAAUAGUGCCUACUUCAGAAGGUUAAGAGUUUUCAGCAAAAUAAUGUAUGCAGAAUAUUACAGAUUCUGGCACACAAUAGAUGCUUAAAAAAAUGUUAGUUCCCACCUUUUCUCCUUUAGUGGGUCCACAGCGAAUCCCCUCCACUUCCUGCUCCCAUAACCUCACUGUAAGGAGAAACACCCCAAAAUAAGAUGGAACCACCUCUAGGUGCAGGGUUGUCCCUGUUCUAAAUUAGACCACAUCCAGGUACUGCCUGAGAGAGCAACCAACAUGCCUCUUCCUCCUCUCUGCUUCUUUCUUCAGAGGCCCUUGGAUCCCCCACCUUUCCUCCUCUCCUUCCUCCUUCCUCACUUACAGUAAAGCAGACCUGGGUUCCAAUCACCUCCCACUCUCCUCUAGGCUCUAAGCCCAGCUGUGUGUGGAGCGGCAGGGGAAGGAGGCCCCAAGCCUCCCACCCUACCCAGCCCCCAGCUUCAUCCCACUCUCCCCUCUCCCUGCCCCACCCUGAUUACCAGGAUAUCCUCAGGUCUGCUGAUUCCAAGCCUGCUUCUCUCAAACCAGUUCCCAGCUGUUAUGUCUAUAAUUACCAAUCUUGCCAGGGGCAUCCGACAAAGCACAGCAAAACCUCAUUUCCAAAGGGCCCCACCAUAAAGGGCCUCUGCCUCCUACUCUGUACCAAGCAGGGUAGAGACAAGGAAUGCAAACAUUCUCCCUGGCCCACCACAGUUCUAUCCAGACUACAACAGAGAAGGUGAGAGAGGGCUGCCCAAGCCACAUCACCAAGAGACAGGAUAAAGAAGGGGAGGGCCGCCGUAGGGUAGAAUGUGAGUAGGACUUAGUCCCAGGCCUUUCCUUCACCUCUGCUGCCAAAAUCUCAUCAUGCACAGGGUUACCCACCUGUGGAAGGUAAAAGGGAAAAUUUCAGGUCAAUUCAGAGAGAGGGGAAGCUGAUGUCAAGUGAACAGGGAGAUGGCUCCCCACAAGGAUGAGGGUUGAUGCAUACAGGAGUGAGCUGCCCAGGAAAGAGGAGGAAAGAGCAAGUUUUAAAAGUCCCAUCCCCAGCCCAGACCCUGAGAAGAGGCAAUAAUACCCUAGCCUCUCUUCUCCCCUAAUACCUCCAACUCUACCAAGCCCAUAGCACAAGCAGGAAAGGGAUGAUUAACUUUGUUUUAUAGACAGAGAAACUGAGGCCAAAUCCCCACUUCAUACUGCAAGGUACAGGACUACCAAAUACCCUGUGUGCCUUCUUGCUCACGCUCAGCCUCCACCAGGAGUGCCAUCCUAAGACCCUUCCUGUUGGCCUAACUCAUCCUUUAACCAGCUAACAGGGCAUCUCCUGCAGGAACCUUCCCUGGCACCUCACCCCAGGGCCAAGCACUCUUCCUCUAUGCUCCAGUGGCCUCCUGAACACACCUCCACACAGCACUCACUGGGCUGCAGUGAAUCAACAUGUUUUCACAUGUCUCCCCUGGGAAAACAUCUUAUUUGCCCCUCCAUCCCCUGUGCUUCACACUGUGCCUGGCAGAUAGGAGAGAGUGCCUAAUGUGGUCGGCCAAAGGAAGAUCAGAACCAAAGCCUAGUUCUCCUAUCCCGACUCCGACCUCUCUCCCUUAAUGAUGAUUAUCCCUCAGAAUCCGAACCAUCCAGCUAACAUUUACUAUGUGCCAGGAACUGUGCAACGUGCUUUCUCUAUUAUUUCAUUUAAUCCUCAUAACCCCAAGAAGUAGGGCCUAUUAUUAAUUCCAUUUUACAGGUGAGGCUUCAAAAAGUUACCAGUUUUGUCUGAUGUCACGGAAUUAGACAGUGGCAAAGCCAGAAUUUAAAAGCAAACCAGGGAAGAAAGCCACUUGGUGGGGGACCAGGGAUUCCUUGUGGAAGGGCUCAGUCUAGGCUUGGAGGAUGUGCCUUAAGACACCUAAGAGGCUGGGGAAUGGGGUUUAUUACUUGCCCAGAUCACACCACUGUUAAGUACUAAUUCCAACCAACUCUGACUCCUUUCUCUGGCCUCACAAUGUGAUGAACACUUGAGGGAAGGAGAAGACUGGAGUUCCCUAAAACUCAGAGGGGAUCAGAUCUCUUCCUUUUCCCUGCCAAAGCUUCUGUUAGUCAAGUUCCCUCCCCAUUAACUGGAAGGACCUGGAAACCAGAUGAGCAGAUAAAAAACUGUCCUGCUCUAGGGCCAGGGAAGGGGGGAUAUUUCCUCAGAUCUAAAAGGAUCAGGAGGAGAGGCAAACACACCAGAGAGGCCUGCCCCGGAAGAAUUAGAGGAAAUAGAAGUCAGGAGCAAGACAAUGGGUGAGGAGGGGCCAACGUGGCCACUGACUCCCAAUCUGGAAGUACUUUCAGAAAUGGCAUUUCCUAUUAUCUGACCACAAUUCCUCCUCUUUGGAAGAGAGCCCCCACCAGCAUAAUAUAUCAUGCAUGUGAUCAGCGUAUACAGAGCAAACAAGGGACCCCAGAGGGCCAGGGCACACCAUCUUAGAUGCAAGUGCCUUACUAGCCCUGGGAGCCCUAACUAUCAGACAGGUGUUGGGUUUGGGGGAAUGAUCCAUUAAAAAAAAAAAAAGGUCUUUUAAAGGUCUUUUCCUACUCUGCCCCGUUCCCCGUUCCUCGUUCAAACAUUUUCUAACCCCUACUACUCUUAUCUCCAGGCCUUAGGGAGGGUAGGGAGCCCUGAGGACUAAAGAGGGAACAUUCCAAUUG
This 3163-nucleotide long non-coding RNA is filed under the name Homo sapiens (human). RNAcentral's name for it is "HSALNT0016309". The record is from RNAcentral. Lineage: Eukaryota; Metazoa; Chordata; Mammalia; Primates; Hominidae.